Molecule: small nuclear RNA, 335 nt
Filed under: Jaculus jaculus (lesser Egyptian jerboa)
Lineage: Eukaryota; Metazoa; Chordata; Mammalia; Rodentia; Dipodidae
Description: 7SK RNA (ENSJJAG00000006394.1)
Rfam family: 7SK RNA
About the family: 7SK was discovered as an abundant small nuclear RNA in the mid-70s but a possible function has only recently been suggested. Two independent studies have found that 7SK RNA binds the CDK9/cyclin T complex (known as elongation factor P-TEFb). P-TEFb activates transcription by phosphorylating the C-terminal domain of RNA polymerase II.
Source: RNAcentral
GGAUGUGAGGGCGAUCUGGCUGUGACAUCUGUCACCCCAUUGAUAGCCAGGGUUCAUUCAGCUGAUCUGGCUGGCUAGGCGGGUGUCCCCUUCCUCCCUCACUGCUCCGUGCGUCCCUCCUGAAGCUGCUGUGUACUUUCUCGAAGAGGAUGACCUUCCCCGAAUAGAGGAGGACCAGUCUUCAAUUAAGGGUCUACAAGUAGCUGUGCUCCCCUGCUAGACCCUCCAAACAAGCUCUCAAAUGUAUAAUGAAUCCCAGGUAUGUCUGGUGGCACUUGCCUGUGUUAUAUCACAUGACUUCACUGCAACCUUGUUUUUUUUUAAAAUACAUUUUU